GGCCAAGCUGGAGGGCAGCCAGGCGGCAGCAGAAGCCUCUCCUCCUCCUGGUCCCCAUGGUGGGGGCUGGUUGCCACCCUCCCCCUUCCCCUGGGGAUGCUGCUGGUAGUCACUAUGGGGAUAAAGCGAUUAUGUUUCCAGACCAUAGGGAGCCAACUCCACCUGCAGGCCUGAGGGCCCUAGCCCCACUGCCGCCUGGGCAUGUCAGGGAGAGGGAUCACAGCUUUGCUUCCCACUGAGUGUCCUGGCCCCAGACAGCCCAUGCCUAAUGUGGGGCCACCUCCCUUUCCUUCUAACAUGAGCUGCCUCUCCUGACCUCAGAUGGCCUUGAUGCCUGACUGCUGUGUCCUGCUGGAGGAAUGAGGGCUGUAGGAGCCUCAAGAACAAAGGCCAUCAGAGAGGCCGUUUGCUGGCAUGGAGCCCCCCAGGACUCAUCAACCAUGGUUGAGGUUGACUGAAAACAGAGCAAGAGAGGCCCCCGCCUGUCUCAGAUGAGACUGGUGUUUUUUGCAAAUGGAUUACUUAAAGGUGUCUUGAAGGGGUAUGAUACUGCGAUAUGCACCUUUCACUGCCUGGAAUCUUCCUGAGUUUUGUCUUGGUCGAGCUGCCUUCCAUGUACAGCCCCCUCUGAAGAUGUUGGAAAGGAGGAGAAGGAAGAGGAAAGCAGAGGGGAUCGCCCCGCAGAGGCCAGCCUGCAGCCUGGGCUCCAUGCACCUCUGGCUGCUAACGGGAUCCACCUCGGGUCAAGAAGACUGCCGUGCAGGUUACUUCAGGGAAGCUCUGUCCUGGUCAUCUCUGCCUGGCAUUUCCUGCAGGAUUUGGCAAGCCACCCGUAGGAGAAGCUCC
This 846-nucleotide long non-coding RNA is filed under the name Homo sapiens (human). RNAcentral's name for it is "HSALNT0265900". The record is from RNAcentral. Lineage: Eukaryota; Metazoa; Chordata; Mammalia; Primates; Hominidae.